UACGGGGGGGGCAAGCGUUGUUCGGAAUUACUGGGCGUAAAGGGCUCGUAGGCGGCCAACUAAGUCCGACGUGAAAUCCCCAGGCUUAACUUGGGAACUGCGUCGGAUACUGGUUGGCUUGAAUCCGGGAGAGGGAUGCGGAAUUCCAGGUGUAGCGGUGAAAUGCGUAGAUAUCUGGAGGAACACCGGUGGCGAAGGCGGCAUCCUGGACCGGCAUUGACGCUGAUGAGCGAAAGCCAGGGGAGCAAACGGG
RNAcentral lists this ribosomal RNA (253 nucleotides) under uncultured bacterium. RNAcentral describes it as "partial 16S ribosomal RNA". It matches the Rfam family "Bacterial small subunit ribosomal RNA", at positions 524 to 776 of the family's 1533-position model. The record is from RNAcentral.